GCCCGGUUAGCUCAAUCGGUAGAGCGUGAGACUCUUACUGCCCUUUCCAGGGGCCAACAUGAAUCUGAAAAUGUUCAAGCCAGGGUAACACGUUUCUUAGGGUAAGGUUGCGGGUUCGAGCCCCCAAUCGGGCU
Molecule: transfer RNA, 134 nt
Filed under: Coniochaeta ligniaria NRRL 30616
Lineage: Eukaryota; Fungi; Ascomycota; Sordariomycetes; Coniochaetales; Coniochaetaceae
Rfam family: tRNA
About the family: Transfer RNA (tRNA) molecules are approximately 80 nucleotides in length. Their secondary structure includes four short double-helical elements and three loops (D, anti-codon, and T loops).
Source: Rfam by way of RNAcentral